Molecule: ribosomal RNA, 431 nt
Filed under: uncultured bacterium
Lineage: Bacteria
Description: bacterial SSU rRNA
Rfam family: Bacterial small subunit ribosomal RNA
Source: RNAcentral
AACGAACGCUGGCGGCAGGCUUAACACAUGCAAGUCGAACGCACCUUCGGGUGAGUGGCAGACGGGUGAGUAACGCGUGGGAACCUUCCCUGUGGUAUGGAAUAGCUCCGGGAAACUGGAAUUAAUACCGUAUACGCCCUUUUGGGGAAAGAUUUAUCGCCAUAGGAUGGGCCCGCGUCGGAUUAGCUUGUUGGUAGGGUAAUGGCCUACCAAGGCAACGAUCCGUAGCUGGUCUUAGAGGAUGAUCAGCCACACUGGGACUGAGACACGGCCCAGACUCCUACGGGAGGCAGCAGUGGGGAAUAUUGGACAAUGGGCGAAAGCCUGAUCCAGCCAUGCCGCGUGAGUGACGAAGGCCUUAGGGUUGUAAAACUCUUUUGGCGGGGACGAUAAUGACGGUACCCGCAGAAUAAGCCCCGGCUAACUUCGUG